CCGCCCUGCGCUCCUGGUCUCCCGCGCGGCGCGGGGCUGCGGAGGCUGGGGCGCCGGUCGGAGCGCGCGUCCGCUCGGAGCGUGUGUCGCCGGCCUCGUCUGGCCUGUUCUUGCCCGAGGAGCCAGCGUCCCAGGGUGAACCGCUUCCCCCACUGCUGGAACAGCCCGAGAAGACCGGCGUGGCCCCCGGUGUGUCCCGUGAGGAGCCUGCCGCCAUGCUGCCUCGAAUCCGAACGACUGGCCCUGGGAUGUUGCCCAAACGUAAGCGGGGGCAGCUGAGUGGUUCCCCAGCCCGAGCCGUGCUCCCUGCACCGAGAGGGCUGGCAGUCUUCUGCUCUCUCCCUGCUCGGCGAGGGCCAUGUGCACCACCUGCCCCGAAGACUUCCGCUUUGGACCAGCUCAUGCCCGCGGGCCUGGAACAAGCCUGUCAGUCUGGGAUCGCACCUGCCCACUGCCUGCCUCUCCGCGGGCUCCCUGCCUCCGCUUUCCGCCCUUUCUCUGAACCCUGCAGCGGCCCUUAGCACUUCGCAGCCACCGUGGAAUCUGUGUUGUCAGGUAAAGUGGGAUGUGUCACUGUGUUAUAGAGUGUUAAAGAUACUCCUAGGGUUAGAACAAACGAACCUGUGAUUGCUCGGCUCAUAGCUAUCAAGUGAACUCUAG
This 660-nucleotide long non-coding RNA is filed under the name Chinchilla lanigera (long-tailed chinchilla). Its description in RNAcentral is "lncRNA (ENSCLAG00000025602.1)". Lineage: Eukaryota; Metazoa; Chordata; Mammalia; Rodentia; Chinchillidae. The record is from RNAcentral.